This 465-nucleotide ribosomal RNA is filed under the name uncultured Desulfovibrio sp. RNAcentral describes it as "bacterial SSU rRNA". It matches the Rfam family "Bacterial small subunit ribosomal RNA", at positions 338 to 795 of the family's 1533-position model. Lineage: Bacteria; Pseudomonadati; Thermodesulfobacteriota; Desulfovibrionia; Desulfovibrionales; Desulfovibrionaceae. The record is from RNAcentral.
CCUACGGGAGGCUGCAGUGGGGAAUAUUGCGCAAUGGGCGAAAGCCUGACGCAGCGACGCCGCGUGAGGGAUGAAGGUUUUCGGAUCGUAAACCUCUGUCAGAAGGGAAGAAACUACAUUGUGCUAAUCAGCAGUGUACUGACGGUACCUUCAAAGGAAGCACCGGCUAACUCCGUGCCAGCAGCCGCGGUAAUACGGAGGGUGCAAGCGUUAAUCGGAAUUACUGGGCGUAAAGCGCACGUAGGCUGUAUUGUAAGUCAGGGGUGAAAUCCCACGGCUCAACCGUGGAACUGCCUUUGAUACUGCACAACUUGAAUCCGGGAGAGGGUGGCGGAAUUCCAGGUGUAGGAGUGAAAUCCGUAGAUAUCUGGAGGAACAUCAGUGGCGAAGGCGGCCACCUGGACCGGUAUUGACGCUGAGGUGCGAAAGCGUGGGGAGCAAACAGGCUUAGAUACCCGGGUAGUC